GAUUUUGUUGGGGUGAAAAGCACACUGACAUGCCACCGCUGUUUAUUGGAGUGCGAUUUCACGUGCAAAUGCAAAAACAUUAAAAAUGUUAUUGCUCCUUAUGUGCAUAUGCGGCAGCGCUCCUCGAGGGGGCACCAGCUGCGGGAAGUCUGUUCCUUGCAGACCCCUGACCACGCGAUGAAUGAAUAAAGUACACUGACACACAGAUAUUCUGCUCUGCCAGUCCAGCUGAGGGUCCAAGCCCCUUACAGGCUCCCUGCUGAGCCCUGUAAACAGUUGCGACUCGGCAGGGAGCCUGUAAGCACCUGGGACCCUCAGAAUAUCUGUGUGUCAGCGUACUUUAUUCACCGGUCAUUGGGUCAGGGGUCUGCAAGGGACAGACUCCCCACAGCUGGUGACCCCUCGAGAGGAGCCCUGCCCCCAGCUGGUGCCCCAUGUGAGGCGCUGUGUGAGGAACUGUGUGAGGAAUGCUGUGAAGGAAACGCGACGAACCGCCCGAAAACGAAGGGCAAAGCGGCUGAGAUCUUUGAACUCCCUUUGAACUUUGAGAAUGGUGACUGGAAGAUGACAAUUCAUGUUGUUUUCAGGAAAGUUGAAGGAUGGGAUGUAUGCAAAGGAGAAUGAACUCUACUACAGUAAUGGAAAGAAGUGAUAGAAGAUGAAACUCCAAAAUGCCUAUCUGCUACUUGAGUGGAACUCACUAGAAUAUAUCAAAUGCAGAGAGAAACAUGUGACUAGGCUCUAGUCAAACAAUUGUCAUCAAAUACUUGCUGAAUAUAUAACACAUUUUAGGAGCUGUGCAGAAAACAGUUUUGAGUGGUGAGAUACACUUAAUUUCAAGCCUCACUUGCAAAAUUUUCAAUGGUGAACCUUCUGGACACCAAAUGUAUAACUCGAGCUAUUUUAGAAGUUAGAGAAAGGCUGCCUUCCCAGGUCAGAGAAUCAGAAGAUUGAAAUAAGCCGCUCACUCUCUUUUUUGGGACACUGAAAUAGGGAAUUAGCAUGAUACAAAGAACACUCUGGACUGUGUCCCCCAUCUAAGUAAAUUGUAUUAUGUUCCAAAGCUGAGUUUAAACAAAAUAGUAAAAAUUCAGAGGUAUUACAAAGCUGAUCUAGAUUCUUCAUCUCAAUAAAUCUGGGGACUGCUUGUACAAGCAGUAGAAAAUGGAUAAAGAUAACAUCAUGAAUGCAUGUUUCUCACCCUCUUUACUUUUAUCUCCUCCUGAAGUGACUCCAGCAAUCAGAUAAGUAAUUAGCAGAGUAUGUUUACAAAUCGCUGUGAAGGAUGAGUUGGGAAACAGAGGCUGAAUAUACAGUAUCCACAAAAGGGAAAUGUUCAUAGGUAGUAUAAGGUUUUUGAGAAGGCAGGCCAUGAUGUCAUUCAAAGUAUAGACAAACUCAGUAAAUACUGGUGAUUAUGACAUACCUAUUUGUUCUCCAUCCGAAAUGCAAAAAUUAAAAAGUCUGAUUGUAUCCCAGUAUUUGUGAAGGUGUGGGGAAAUGGGCACCUUAAUAUUUACAUGAAUGCAAAUUGGUGGACAAUUUUGUGUUACUAAACUUUAACCUAUCAUACUUCUUUAUCUGACCAUUAUCUUUCUAAGCCUUUCCAGGUACACACUCAUGUACUUGCACAAAGAUGCCUGUUUUGUAUUGUUUGAAGCAGAAAAAAAUUAAAUGAUACUUUAAUGUCCAUCAACUGAAAAAUAGCUAAAUGGAUCAUAAUAUGUCAAAACUAUGGGCUAUAUACUGUAUUUAAAAUAAUAAAAUGAAUCUACAUAUGUUGACAUGAAAAUGUCUAUAGGAUGUAUUGUUUCAGUGAAAAAAAGCAAAUUGUAGAACCAUAUGUGAAUAUAACUUUAGUAAAGAAACAAUAAAUAAUAAAG
RNAcentral lists this long non-coding RNA (1883 nucleotides) under Homo sapiens (human). RNAcentral's name for it is "HSALNT0017405". Lineage: Eukaryota; Metazoa; Chordata; Mammalia; Primates; Hominidae. The record is from RNAcentral.